UGGGGAAUAUUGCACAAUGGGGGAAACCCUGAUGCAGCGACGCCGCGUGAGCGAAGAAGGUUUUCGAAUCGUAAAGCUCUGUCCUAUGAGAAGAUAAUGACGGUAUCAUAGGAGGAAGCCCCGGCUAAAUACGUGCCAGCAGCCGCGGUAAUACGUAUGGGGCGAGCGUUGUCCGGAAUUAUUGGGCGUAAAGGGUACGUAGGCGGUCUAUUAAGUCAGGUGUGAAAGCGUGAGGCUUAACCUCAUUAAGCACUUGAAACUGAUAGACUUGAGUGAAGGAGAGGAAAGUGGAAUUCCUAGUGUAGCGGUGAAAUGCGUAGAUAUUAGGAGGAAUACCGGUGGCGAAGGCGACUUUCUGGACUUUUACUGACGCUCAGGUACGAAUGCGUGGGGAGCAAACAGG
RNAcentral lists this ribosomal RNA (403 nucleotides) under Verrucomicrobiota bacterium. Its description in RNAcentral is "Verrucomicrobia bacterium partial 16S ribosomal RNA". It matches the Rfam family "Bacterial small subunit ribosomal RNA", at positions 355 to 776 of the family's 1533-position model. Lineage: Bacteria; Pseudomonadati; Verrucomicrobiota. The record is from RNAcentral.